CCCUUAGACGUUCUGGGCCGCACGCGCGCUACACUGACCAGUGCAACAAGCAUCCGUCCUUGGCCGACAGGCUCGGGCAAUCUUUGAACGCUGGUCGUGAUGGGGAUAGACUUUUGCAAUUUUUGGUCUUCAACGAGGAAUUCCUAGUAAACGCAAGUCAUCAACUUGCAUUGAUUACGUCCCUGCCCUUUGUACACACCGCCCGUCGCACCUACCGAUUGAAUGGUCCGGUGAAAUCUCCGGACUGGCGUGAGUCGGAGCAAUCUGACAAACACCGGAAAGUUGAUUAAACCUUACCAUUUAGAGGAAGGUGAANUCGUANCA
This 324-nucleotide ribosomal RNA is filed under the name uncultured eukaryote. RNAcentral's name for it is "partial 18S ribosomal RNA". It matches the Rfam family "Eukaryotic small subunit ribosomal RNA", at positions 1470 to 1796 of the family's 1831-position model. The record is from RNAcentral.